Potamilus streckersoni is the source of this 76-nucleotide non-coding RNA. Lineage: Eukaryota; Metazoa; Mollusca; Bivalvia; Unionida; Unionidae. The record is from the annotation of a GenBank genome assembly.
CGCUCUGUUGACCUCAGUAGUUAGAGUGCCUGCCUCAGAUGUUGGAGGUCGUUGGUUCGAUUACCGGCCUGGCCAA